RNAcentral lists this transfer RNA (75 nucleotides) under Spartobacteria bacterium AMD-G4. Its description in RNAcentral is "tRNA-Val". It matches the Rfam family "tRNA". From Rfam's summary of the family: Transfer RNA (tRNA) molecules are approximately 80 nucleotides in length. Lineage: Bacteria; Pseudomonadati; Verrucomicrobiota; Spartobacteria. The record is from RNAcentral.
GCGCGGUUAGCUCAGUGGUAGAGCAUUACCUUGACACGGUAGGGGUCGGGAGUUCGAACCUCCCAUCGCGCACCA